GCGAGGGCCAUGAAAUUUACUAAAUAGCACGCCUCGAGUUCUAAGGGUAAACAAAAUUAAUUAGACGUGGGCCAUGCAAUUGUCAUUUUUGUUUGGCAUGUCGCACCUCAACUUACUCUAAUUAGAGCAUUUCUAAAUUAACACACGAGGGCCAUAAGUUGUUAUUGGUUUGAAUGACACACCUCAAAAUAUCAAAAGAGUCUAAUUGAUUAAGGAAAAGAAUCAACCCCCAGUAGUUCAAAAUAUAUAUAAUGCUAAAGGCCUGAGCCAAAUUUGACACCCACGAAUCAACACUCAAGGGAAACGGACCAACGACAUUGAGCUAACCCAAACGGGCCUCUAAAGCAAGAUUAAAGUGUCCUCUUGGAUAAGAAGACCUAAGCCCAUGACACAAGAAGGGCAGGAACCUUAAUACCUGAGGAAAGAGAUAGAAAUGGAUUACUUGCUUCUCCAAAGGCCUCACGCGGUUAAGAAGCUGAAAGAGAAGCUACUGGGACUGGGCAUGGGCAUCCUCACUGACGCUAUUUAGUUAUUCGGGAUCAGAAUUCACACUAUAGAAGACGGGAAUUGAGUUAUGAUUGAUGAAAGUCUGCUAUGUAUUAAGUAGUAAAAAGAGUCUCAAUUGACUAGCAUCACCCUUCACUCAAAAAUUCCUCAACGCCAUAUGCAGAAUUCUAAUUCUGGACAAGCUUUCAGAUUCAGGCCCAAAUUUAUCAGCCCUAAGAUUGCCAAGCUUGUCUAGUUAGCUAAAAACGAUGAUCAACAUAAUAUCACCAUGGAGCAUUGAGCCGUGUGAACAACUUAAUCCAUGGCUUAAAAUAAUUGGCAAAAAUUAACUAACUGAAAGAAAAUCUGAUUUUAUUUUAGCAAGCAUGGAAUUAAAAUUAGUCUCAUGAAACAUGCAUACAAAUUUCCCAUUUAUCUUCUGUUUUAACUAUUACAAUAGGGACGAACAUAGAAGCAUUUGAGAUUCAGAAUUAAACAAGCAUCGAGUAACCAUAUGCUUAACUCAGAUUUUUGGAGCUGUUCUUUAACAGACAGUUUCAUGCUAUUUGGGCAUUUUUGCUCAAGACAUGUGAAUGGUAAAUAUCAAUCCUAUAGGUUAAUCUAAGAAACAAUAAGAGUCUGAAUUACACCCUUCAAAUGGAACUCAUACUAAUGAUGUUGAUAUCAACAGAUAAUAAGCAAAAAAAAUACCCAAAGCUUAAGCAUUCUAAUCCACGUUACACUAUAAUAGUCCUUUGGAGUCCUUUUAUACAAAUCUGAACAUUAAGAUUCAUGCAAAUCACUAAUAAUUUGGAACACCUGAUUCGUUUAACACUACAAAUGAUCUCAAAAUUGAAAUGGGAUGAUUUUCAGAAGUGUAGAAAACAAAACAUAUGCUGAAAACUAAUUCUCAUGUAUUUCCAACUUCAAACAAAUACUUGGCUUCUUCAUUUCAUAGGUCAAAGGAAUGAACAAUACCUGGAAAUUAAAAAGAAAUCAAAAUGUAGGGGUCCGUGUUCUACAACAGUAGAGCAACAACAGGAUUCAACACCCAAACUCAAUAAAACAGCAAAAAUGGCCAACGAAAGCCAAUGGAACAGUAACUACCCAAUAGAAUUCAACCCAAAACUUUAAGAAAUCCAAAUUUAAGCCAUCUCAAACAUGGAAAGAAUCAGAAAAUAUUUCAAUCACUGAAAACUUCAACACUCAAAGCCGAGAAAUCAAUGGAACAAGUUCAGAGUUUCAGCCGUGAAUAUUUUCAGAAUUUUAUCUCUUCAAGUCUGCCUUCUAAGGAAAGAAAAGGUGCCUUUAUAGGCAAGCAAAUAGGGCAACCUUUCAGAUUUUAGUUCUACCCUUUAAGCCCUUUUCAAAUUUGCUUUUAGCUUAGAUAUCCCUAAAAUUUUGACUUGUUAACAAUAUGAAAUUCAAAUUAAAACACCUACUAGAAGCUUCCUAUUUCUGUUAUCAGAAAGAUUUCCUCAACCAAAUACCCAAACUACCCCCCAUGCCCUUGUUAUUUACCUUGCUAACCAAACAAACUUGGGCUCAAAACAAUCGGGCAUCUUGAAUUGGGUCAUAAAUGACUCAAACCCAAGGCUGGUUCCAAAUCAAUCCAAAUGAACAUUCAGAAACUCAAAUUCUGACCCAAAACCCCAACAAAACUAAGUGACAGUAACACGAAUAAACAAUUUGACUCUGUGUUGACUAUUACCUUGACAGUUAUGAAUUAAAAAGAGAUAAGAUUAAUAAUAACAAAGUUGACACUGCAAAAUCAACCCUAAGCGGGUUUGGAAUAAUUAAACAGAGGUACUAACAAAGUCGUGCUUAAUAGAUCAAAACAGGUAAAGAAACCAAUUUGGGAAAAUAAAACUUAACGAAGAGCACAAGAACAUGACCAACUCUCAAACAACACAAUUAACCCAAUUUCAAUUGAAUUGACCAGAAAAAGGAGGAGAGGUGAACCAAGAAAUGAAGGAAGGACUCACCGACUAAAACUCGAACCUGGGGCUUGGCACUCCUAAAUAACGUCAAGUACUUGUUCUUUAUCAAGGACAACUCUGCAUGUACGGGUUUGGAUUUGGAUUCAAAAGCUCGGGCUUCAUAUUCAACAUUCGAUGAGUUCCAGACAGAUUCGAGGGGAGCUGGUCACAGAUUUGGGGAGAGGGGGUCGAAGAGGCACUAGGGUGCCGAUUUGGUGGGGAAAGGUGGGGGCGCCGCCACCGGAACACAUUGAAAUUUCAGGGCGGCUGGUUAGGGUUUCAGAUUUCGAUUUGAAAUUUGAUAGGUUCUGGGUGGAUUCGAGGAGAAGUGUUUGAGGAUCUGGAGAGAGGGAAGUGAGAAGAACAUUUGGUGUUGUACCGGUGGCGAUUGGCAGUGACGCCGCCAUGGUCUGGGGUUGGGGGUUCAAAGGAGGCAAUUUAGGUUUUAUUCCUGGUUUUUGAGAGGGGUCCAUGUGAGAG
This 2945-nucleotide long non-coding RNA is filed under the name Nicotiana tabacum (common tobacco). Its description in RNAcentral is "long non-coding RNA (NTAB_LNC016604)". Lineage: Eukaryota; Viridiplantae; Streptophyta; Magnoliopsida; Solanales; Solanaceae. The record is from RNAcentral.